Molecule: ribosomal RNA, 468 nt
Filed under: uncultured bacterium
Lineage: Bacteria
Description: partial 16S ribosomal RNA
Rfam family: Bacterial small subunit ribosomal RNA
Source: RNAcentral
GACGAACGCUGGCGGCGUGCUUAACACAUGCAAGUCGAACGGAAAGGCCCUGCUUUUGUGGGGUGCUCGAGUGGCGAACGGGUGAGUAACACGUGAGUAACCUGCCCUUGACUUUGGGAUAACUUCAGGAAACUGGGGCUAAUACCUGAUAGGAGCUCCUGCUGCAUGGUGGGGGUUGGAAAUUUUCGGCGGUUGGGGCUGGAGUCGCGGCUUAUCAGCUUGUUGGUGGGGUAGUGGCUUACCAAGGCUUUGACGGGUAGCCGGCCUGAGAGGGUGACCGGCCACAAUGGGACUGAGAUACGGACCAGACUCCUACGGGAGGCAGCAGUGGGGAAUAUUGCACAAUGGGCGGAAGCCUGAUGCAGCAACGCCGCGUGCGGGAUGACGGCCUUCGGGUUGUAAACCGCUUUCGCCUGUGACGAAGCGUGAGUGACGGUAAUGGGUAAAGAAGCACCGGCUAACUACGUG